UAACAACUGGAGGGCAAGUCUGGUGCCAGCAGCCGCGGUAAUUCCAGCUCCAGUAGUGUAUUUCAAAAUUGUUGCGGUUAAAACGCUCGUAGUCGAAUUAUAAAAACGUUAUUAAAGUCUAAUUAGCUACAUAUAAGUAGUUAAUUGGGUGACGUUUUUUUGUCGCAAGUACUAAUCGUGGGCUUCAAUGCUUGUGGUUAGUCGCUUGCGAAGCGUGCCUUGAAUAAAGCAAAGUGCUCAACGCAAGCGUAACGCUAAUAUGUAAUAGCAUGGAACGAAUUGAAAUGUGCAGGCGUUAGUUUAGUUAGUUGGUGGGGCUGCAAACUUUGCAUGUAGUCUACCUUGCAAGCAAUUGCUCGGUUCUCUUAUGUGUCUAGUGUGUAGUCCGCCGGGUGGUCUGUGUCCAAUGGGUUGCCGGGGUGGUUAAACAUCCCGGUUGGACGUUGGACGCUCACAGGCCAUUCGGUACUAAACUGCCUGUCGGUUAAGAGGGACAUUUGAGGGCGUUAGUACUUGGAGGCGAGAGGUGAAAUUCUUAGACCCUCCAAAGACUGACAAAUGCGAAAGCAUUCGCCAAGAGUGUUUUCAUUGAUCAAGAACGAAAGUUGGAGGUUCGAAGACGAUCAGAUACCGUCCUAGUUCCAUACAGUAAACGAUGCCAACACGCGAUCAGUCUGAAGUAAUUUGGAUUGAGGUUGGUCGCCCAGGGAAACUGUAAGUGUUCUGGUUGUGGGGAGAGUACGGUCGCAAGGUUGAAAUUUAAAGGAAUUGACGGAAAGGCACCACCAGGAGUGGAGCCUGCGGCUUAAUUUGACUCAACACGGGACAACUCACCAGGUCCGGACAUUGGUAGGAUUGACAGACUGAUAGAUCUUUCAUGAUUCGAUGAUUGGUGGUGCAUGGCCGUUCUUAGUUGGUGGAGUGAUCUGUCAGGUUUAUUCCGGUAACGAGCGAGACCACGAUGUCUAGUUGAUGGCCAAACCACGACAGGGUAAAACCAAAGUGGUGCUUAUUUGCAUUCUGCAUGCUGUKGCAGUGUGAGUAGUUGGCGGCAACGUCGGCUAUUUGCGCUGUGGCAGUGUGU
This 1084-nucleotide ribosomal RNA is filed under the name Parvicapsulidae gen. sp. EK-2011. RNAcentral's name for it is "SSU rRNA". It matches the Rfam family "Eukaryotic small subunit ribosomal RNA", at positions 544 to 1419 of the family's 1831-position model. Lineage: Eukaryota; Metazoa; Cnidaria; Myxozoa; Bivalvulida; Parvicapsulidae. The record is from RNAcentral.